This 253-nucleotide ribosomal RNA is filed under the name uncultured bacterium. RNAcentral describes it as "partial 16S ribosomal RNA". It matches the Rfam family "Bacterial small subunit ribosomal RNA", at positions 524 to 776 of the family's 1533-position model. The record is from RNAcentral.
UACGGAGGGAGCUAGCGUUGUUCGGAAUUACUGGGCGUAAAGCGCACGUAGGCGGCUUUGUAAGUCAGAGGUGAAAGCCUGGAGCUCAACUCCAGAACUGCCUUUGAGACUGCAUCGCUUGAAUCCGGGAGAGGUGAGUGGAAUUCCGAGUGUAGAGGUGAAAUUCGUAGAUAUUCGGAAGAACACCAGUGGCGAAGGCGGCUCACUGGACCGGUAUUGACGCUGAGGUGCGAAAGCGUGGGGAGCAAACAGG